Molecule: ribosomal RNA, 252 nt
Filed under: uncultured bacterium
Lineage: Bacteria
Description: partial 16S ribosomal RNA
Rfam family: Bacterial small subunit ribosomal RNA
Source: RNAcentral
UACGGGGGGGUAAGCGUUGUUCGGAAUUACUGGGCGUAAAGGGCUCGUAGGCGGCCAACUAAGUCAGACGUGAAAUCCCUCAGCUUAACUGGGAACUGCGUCUGAUACUGGAUGGCUUGGAUUUGGGAGAGGGAUGCGGAAUUCCAGGUGUAGCGGUGAAAUGCGUAGAUAUCUGGAGGAACACCGGUGGCGAAGGCGGCAUCCUGGACCAAUAUUGACGCUGAGGAGCGAAAGCGUGGGGAGCAAACAGGG